This is a long non-coding RNA of Diceros bicornis minor, 312 nucleotides long. RefSeq lists it as uncharacterized. Lineage: Eukaryota; Metazoa; Chordata; Mammalia; Perissodactyla; Rhinocerotidae. The record is from RefSeq and is a predicted model, not a curated record. The transcript is spliced from 3 exons.
AACAAUGGCCGCCGCCAAUGUCCCAGUCCCUGGAGAGGUCUCACCUCUCACUGAGAUGCACUCAGGGCCUAUUAGGAGCUGGGGGAUGGUUUGAGUGAGCCCACAGAAGCUAUCUCAGUUGCUGCCUCUCUUGACCACAUUCUGCACAUGGACUUCAAUGAUGGUGCUAGCUCUCAUGGAUGUAGCACAGGGUGGAACGUGAGUUGCUGACUGCAGAGUCCUCAGUGUGGAAUCUGGCCGUCACCCAACCCAGGGCCGUGACCUUGUAUGAGCACCCUCGUUGUCCAUGACCUCCAUUUCCUCAGGUAUAGA